Molecule: transfer RNA, 98 nt
Filed under: Acidobacteriota bacterium
Lineage: Bacteria; Pseudomonadati; Acidobacteriota
Also listed under: 1 other name
Description: Acidobacteria bacterium tRNA-Sec
Rfam family: Selenocysteine transfer RNA
Source: RNAcentral
GGAAGUGACUGGGGUCUGGUGGCCUCCUCGGACUUCAAAUCCGAUGGUCCUCGGUUAAUCCCGGGGACGGUGGGUUCGAUUCCCACACACUUCCGCCA